GUUUGAAUAAAGAUGCUAUAGUUGGGCAGAAGAGAAAGUAGGUAGGGUUUCAGUUCCUGGACUAAGAGUCUGAGGAGGACCAAAAGGAAGAAGAGGGAAAAGAAGCUACGUAGAGAGGGGAGAAUAUGCUACAAGUUAGGAAGAACCAUGAAUGGAAGUACUAAAGUGUUGUUGGAAACCAAGGAGAUGAAAACUAAGGAUUUGUUAAGCUCUGAAAUGGAAUAUCUCAUGUAAGAAGGGUCUUUAUUCAUAUUAUAAAUAUAUUCAAAGAACAUGAAA
This is a non-coding RNA of Rattus norvegicus (Norway rat), 279 nucleotides long. The record is from RefSeq and is a predicted model, not a curated record. Lineage: Eukaryota; Metazoa; Chordata; Mammalia; Rodentia; Muridae.